CCUACGGAAGGCAGCAGUGGGGAAUAUUGGACAAUGGGGGCAACCCUGAUCCAGCCAUGCCGCGUGUGUGAAGAAGGCCCUCGGGUUGUAAAGCACUUUCAGUGAGGAAGAACGCCUGGUGGUUAAUACCCAUCAGGAAAGACAUCACUCACAGAAGAAGCACCGGCUAACUCCGUGCCAGCAGCCGCGGUAAUACGGAGGGUGCGAGCGUUAAUCGGAAUUACUGGGCGUAAAGCGCGCGUAGGUGGCUUGAUAAGCCGGUUGUGAAAGCCCCGGGCUCAACCUGGGAACGGCAUCCGGAACUGUCAAGCUAGAGUGCAGGAGAGGAAGGUAGAAUUCCCGGUGUAGCGGUGAAAUGCGUAGAGAUCGGGAGGAAUACCAGUGGCGAAGGCGGCCUUCUGGACUGACACUGACACUGAGGUGCGAAAGCGUGGGUAGCAAACAGGAUUAGAUACCCGGGUAGUC
RNAcentral lists this ribosomal RNA (465 nucleotides) under Vreelandella stevensii. RNAcentral's name for it is "partial 16S ribosomal RNA". It matches the Rfam family "Bacterial small subunit ribosomal RNA", at positions 338 to 795 of the family's 1533-position model. The record is from RNAcentral. Lineage: Bacteria; Pseudomonadati; Pseudomonadota; Gammaproteobacteria; Oceanospirillales; Halomonadaceae.